GGAAGCUUGGUUACAUCUCCAGCUGGCAACCGACCUUGGUGUCAUCCAUGAGGCUGCUUUUAGACCCACGCAGAAUGGAAGAGUUGUGGGGUCGGAAAGGCCUCCACCCAGAUUUCGGAAGAGGGCCUGGGAGGUCAGGCAGGGAGCCCCUGAGAGGGCAGUGUGUGCAGCUGUGAGUAGAAGCUGAAGGUGCAGUGGAGACCCCAGAAGUUUGCAGAAGUCGGGAGCGUGCACCCUCUGAGGAAAACUGCAAAGAGGGAGCGUAGCUGGCCCCAGAGAGAAUGCAUGAGAGCUACAACCACUGUCUAGUUGCAGCUUUGCCUUUCUACAAGUUUCCUAUACCUGAGCUAACUGAAUUGGGUUCAGUAACGUGAAAUGGGCAUCUUGACUGAUCUAUACAGCGCAUUGUUUCUAAUACCACUCCACAAUCAACCCCACCACUCCAAUCUCCAUCUCAGGGGCCAACCCCUAAGAAACCAACCCGUGACACAACAUCUAUGAGAAGCAAUCGAACUGUGAAAAUAUUA
Long non-coding RNA from Fukomys damarensis (Damara mole-rat), 527 nucleotides. RefSeq lists it as uncharacterized. Lineage: Eukaryota; Metazoa; Chordata; Mammalia; Rodentia; Bathyergidae. The record is from RefSeq and is a predicted model, not a curated record. The transcript is spliced from 3 exons.